GCCACGGUCAAGGUGAGACGUACGCCGCCGUGUUCUGGCGUCCCUCCGGAUAUUCUCGGUGCCACCGCGACUCUGGCACCCCUCUGUUGGGUGUGCGUGGUGCCCCUGGCCUGACACUCCACGCGGCUGCUGUACCUAUACCGUGCUCCGGGAGGACAGCAGCGAUGCCGCCCUCUCUGUGUUAUGCUGUGUUUGGCCCACGCUGUGUUUUUCACGUGUUUCUGAAGUAAUGUGAUCGCUGAAGGAGAGAAAUGCUGGCGUGAGGAGGCGAGACGUGCUUCCAGGCAGUGAGUGGAGGAGGAGGAGGAUGUCGUCGCUGGUGGAGGCACUGCAGGUGUCUCCCGCCCGCAGCCGGCGUAGGAAGCCCUCCACGGCGCAGAGCCUCUACAGGGGCGUCGUCAGGAGCAAGUGUACCUGGGAAACACCGUGCAGUGCGGUUGUGUGUGUGUGUCCUCUUUUCAUUUAAACACCAGGGAACGGGACCACAGAGGCACAGGAGGUCAAUUAAGAGCAACGGCAACCCUCCGAUCCGGCAAGCAGGUUGGCGGCAGCGAUGGCGGUGGCGGCAGCAGCGGUGGUGAGGUGGACGGCAGGGACGGAGGGGCGGUACAGGCUGCGGACAUCAAGGAGAAAAAGAACGUGCGGAGAAGCAAGGUGGCAUUCAGCAGUGUGAUCCUGGACCUGGUCGGCUUGACGGUGGUGGUGCCUCUGUCUCCUGCUCUCUUUGACUGUUACUCCAAGCACGACUCCAGCGGCUUGUAUUCCUCUGUGCUCUCCUGUGUGACUUGUUACCAGCAUAUCAUCGGCGUCCCUGCGAGGUUCCACUCUGUCUUGUUUGGUGGUAUGUGGGGCCUAAUGAUGAUGAUUCCUGCUUUCAUCCUCAUCGGGGCUAACGAGACCAACCUGGGGCUGUACUCUGGACUGACGCUGUAUGCCAUAGUGCCUUGAGGUGCCAAUCAUUUCUGAAGUUUAUGAAAGCAGAAACGGCUCUCCAGAAUAUGAUUUUUACCCUAGAUCUUCCCUUCAGCGUUCAGCUUAUUCCUGCAGUGACAGGUGCAGCUUUUUAAACCCUGGGAGAAGCUACUGCAUUGAUCCCAGAGGCAGCCCACGUCCUCACAUUCACGCCCACGCUGACCACCAAGGGGACGCGGAGCACGAGCUGAGUGACUUUGAAAAGGAGAAUUUGUUGUUCGCUUUCCCUCAGCCCUCCGUCAGCUGCUUCAGGAGUUCUGUGCAUCUCCCAGGCAGGAAUCCAGACUGCUGUACACAAUAGAUUGCUGGUAAGUGUAUGAUUCAAUAUCUUUAAUUGCUGUUUCCAGUAUUUUGCAUAUCACAUAAGUCAAACUGCCCGCCCGGCCUGUACUUGCUGGGGUCACUUUUCAUGUUUCUUAUAGAUUACAUGAGUUGCUUUUCAAAAUUCUGGUAUUUCCUGGCUAUGAAGUGAAUAGCUAGCAAUCAGUCAAUCGGCACCCUUAGAUGAAUCUGGUCAGGUGCGGUGACUUGUCCCUCUCAGCCUCUUUAUCAUAAUGCUGUAUAUCAUUUCUACUCAUUUCCAGAGAUACCAAGACUGGCACAGACUCCCUGGUUAUCUCUGGCAUGCCCUCAUCCAGUUGAUGUGCGAACACCACUGCAGGGAACUCUGUCGGUGUGUCUGUUCCUUUCUUUAUCAUUUCCAGUGUUCCUGCUCUUGUCAAUGCUGUUCCUGACACUGACAGUUCCUGCACUGACACUGUUUAGUUGGGUUAGGUUUGGUUACAUACAUUCCAUUCAUUACCAUCAUCAUUAUUCUCUCAUUUCUCAUUCAUUUAUCAUAAUUUUUCCAUCCACUUGUCACCAUCCUUCCAUUUCUCAUUAAUUUAUCACUUGUUAUCACCAUCCUUUCAUCUCUCAUUUACUAAUAAUUUUUAUUCCCAUGGCCUUGUUGACUGGAUGCUCUCUCUCUCUCUCUCUCUCUCUCUCUCUCUCUCUCUCUCUCUCUCUCUCU
This is an RNA transcript of Scylla paramamosain (green mud crab), 1984 nucleotides long. RefSeq lists it as uncharacterized. The record is from RefSeq and is a predicted model, not a curated record. The transcript has 9 exons. NCBI's taxonomy places the organism in Eukaryota, Metazoa, Arthropoda, Malacostraca, Decapoda, Portunidae.